This 291-nucleotide small nuclear RNA is filed under the name Callithrix jacchus (white-tufted-ear marmoset). RNAcentral describes it as "7SK RNA". It matches the Rfam family "7SK RNA". Rfam says of the family: 7SK was discovered as an abundant small nuclear RNA in the mid-70s but a possible function has only recently been suggested. Two independent studies have found that 7SK RNA binds the CDK9/cyclin T complex (known as elongation factor P-TEFb). Lineage: Eukaryota; Metazoa; Chordata; Mammalia; Primates; Cebidae. The record is from Rfam by way of RNAcentral.
GGAUGUGUGGGUGAUUUGGCUGCAGCAUCUGUCACCCCAAUGAUGGCCAGGGUUGGUUCGGCGGAUCUGGCUGGCUAGGCAGGUGUUCCUUUCCUCCCUCACUGCUCCAUGUGUGUCCGUCUCAAAGCUGCACCCUCAGUUGAAGAGGAUGACCAUUCCUGGUAGAGGAGGACAGGUCUUUGGUCAAGGGUAUAUGAGUAGCAGAGGUCCUCUGCAAGAACCUCCAAACAAGCUCUGAAAUGAUAGGGUUCCAAGUUCCCAUGCCCUGGACUCCUUUGGGAACUGUGCCCC